ACUGAAAAACAGGGGACAGGUCCCGUCAACGGGGUAAAAGGGAAGUCCGGAAGGCAGCUGAUUUUUGCCGUGCCGGCGCGGUCCCGCCACUGUGACCGGGGAGGAAACCGCCACAAGCCACUGGGCAAGGCCCGGGAAGGCGCGGCAAUCCAAUGAACCGGGAGCCAGGAAACCUGCCUGUUCCGUCGUCCCGCC
RNAcentral lists this non-coding RNA (195 nucleotides) under Desulfotomaculum sp. Lineage: Bacteria; Bacillati; Bacillota; Clostridia; Eubacteriales; Desulfotomaculaceae. The record is from RNAcentral. RNAcentral also lists the same sequence under 1 other name.